GACUCGCAGAAGGCCUGUUCAGUGCGAGGUAGACAAAGUCAAUUAUGUUACACCGUUGUCGGUUUCAAUGAACAGAUGUGUAUAUAUCAGAGGAAAUAGAUGUGAAAUGGGAAUACUUGGAGUACUUGAUACAGAGCACAAAGAACGAAUGACUAUUGUUCACAAAGACGUCUUCAAAACAACUGAAACUUUACUUUUCAUGGCAUUUGAUCAUUCCUGUGCCGUUUUCAAGGUGGAGUCAAUGGU
Molecule: long non-coding RNA, 246 nt
Organism: Rhipicephalus microplus (southern cattle tick)
Lineage: Eukaryota; Metazoa; Arthropoda; Arachnida; Ixodida; Ixodidae
Source: RefSeq, a predicted model, not a curated record